UAUUAUAUUAUAUUGAGAUGUUCUACCAAUAGCACUAAUAGUAUUUUCAAUUUAAAACUUUUGUUGAGUAUUAAUUAUGUGUCGUUUGUUUUGUUUUCAAGUGUUUAGAAGUUCAAGUGAAUUAACAAGAUGUGAAGUUAUAUAUUCAUGAUUUAUAUUAAGUUUUUUGAACUUUUUAUGAUUUAAUUGUAUUUUACUAAUGAAUUUCAGCUGCACUUUGCUUUUCAAUUUGUGUCAAAUGGUAGAAGUUUUUGAAGAGUAGAGUAGUACUGUAGUUGCUACGGUGAUUUGCUAGUCAAGUGGUGUGAAGCUCAUUUUUUGGUUGAGUGGACUCUACAUGAUCGAAUGCAGGAAAACGCUUUUGCAUAUGGUGUUAUGAAUAUUAAAGAUAGAUGAUUACAAGAACUUUCCAUCUUGUCCCAUAUCUCGAUGAGCG
This 436-nucleotide long non-coding RNA is filed under the name Eucalyptus grandis. Its description in RNAcentral is "long non-coding RNA (EGRA_LNC006589)". The record is from RNAcentral. Lineage: Eukaryota; Viridiplantae; Streptophyta; Magnoliopsida; Myrtales; Myrtaceae.